Ribosomal RNA from Ipomoea nil (Japanese morning glory), 157 nucleotides. It matches the Rfam family "Eukaryotic small subunit ribosomal RNA", at positions 1667 to 1823 of the family's 1831-position model. NCBI's taxonomy places the organism in Eukaryota, Viridiplantae, Streptophyta, Magnoliopsida, Solanales, Convolvulaceae. The record is from Rfam.
CACCGCCCGUCGCUCUUACCGAUUAAAUGGGUGAAGUGUUCGGAUCGCGGCGAUGUGGGUGGUUCGCUGCCCGCGACGUCGCGAGAAGUCCACUGAACCUUAUCAUUUAGAGGAAGGAGAAGUCGUAACAAGGUUUCCGUAGGUGAACCUGCGGAAG